This 1250-nucleotide long non-coding RNA is filed under the name Oncorhynchus kisutch (coho salmon). RNAcentral describes it as "lncRNA (ENSOKIG00005045155.1)". Lineage: Eukaryota; Metazoa; Chordata; Actinopteri; Salmoniformes; Salmonidae. The record is from RNAcentral.
UUCCGAGAGGAGAGAAUAUGACUUUGUGCUGGCUAAUCUUUACAUUGCAUUUAGAGGGGGUUGAUGGGGUGUAUAAUUUACUGUUCGAAUUUCACAUUUUUACAAUCUUGCUCAUUUCCAUUUUGAUCAACCUUAGCGAAUGAAAGGCCAAGAAUGCAACGUCUGCCACGCCCACUGUAGCGCAGCGUGGAAUCUUGCUUCGCGUUGAUGCAGACAACUAGUUCCACAAGGCGAACCCGCUCCGAGUAACCGCAGCCUCGAGCCCAGAUGCGACUCUGUCUCCUCUGGGGCGCGUUGGGCGGGAGGCUAUGAUAAAGACUGAACUUGGUAACUUGCACACAGUAUAACAUAAACGCAAUUGAAUGCAAGUUAUAGCAGGGUUGGAUCGUUGUAAUUCUCGACAUUGAACCCUGAUUUUAACCUCACCAGCAGCCGAUACAGACAGACAAAAAGGACCGCUUCUUGUUCCUCCCGAAUCGCCUUUGAAUGUGAGCUGUCCGCGGUACCUGGACGGGAAAGAUGCAGCAAAGAAGAUGCAGCUUUUUUAUGGUUUUAUCCUUUUUACUACAGAUGGGAAACGCAGAUGUUUUUUCUGGUGACCAUGACCGCUACACGACCAGGACCGGUGAGGGGAGGAGGUGGUCGGACAGCCCAGUCCUGGUGUACCGUCACGUGGACCAAGAUGGCCAGGAGAGGACCCUGAGUCUGGAGACACCCGGGUGGCAGCGUGGUGGGGACAGAGACAGUCUCCAUGCCUUGGUUAACACCCUCAGUGCCCAGCACCAGGCCAGACUGGACAGCUUCAGGGACAUGGCCAGGGUGGACAGCCUCCUCACCCAGUCCUCCCAGACCCAUGCCAGGCUGGCUAAGCUGAUGCCCGCUGCCCUGCUGGAGUCCCAGUCCCGCCAGGCGCCCCGUGGGCAUGGAGCCGUCAGCCUGUUGGCACAGCCGGAGCAGGAGGUACGGGUGGAGAACGCUCCGGUCUCAGCGCGCUGUAUGGUCACCGUGGUGAGUAGAGUGUAGAUAUUUCCCAUCUACACUCUGGAUGUAUUGAUGGGUCGCUCCACCAGUCCCUUUGGAGAUGUGUACCUUGGUAAAAAAACAGGUUGACAGUAGCAGGGUUGACAGUAACAGGGUUGACCACCAGUGCCUUUGGAGAUGUGUACCUUGGUAAAAAAAAAAACAGGUUGACAGUAGCAGGGUUGACAGUAACAGGGUUGACCACCAGUGCCUUUGGAGAUGUGUACCUU